GGGUUGUGAGGUUAAGCGACCAAGCGUACACGGUGGAUGCCCUGGCAGUCAGAGGCGAUGAAGGACGUGCUAAUCUGCGAAAAGCGCCGGUAAGGUGAUAUGAACCGUUAUAACCGGCGAUGUCCGAAUGGGGAAACCCAGUGUGACUCGUCACACUAUCAUUAACUGAAUCCAUAGGUUAAUGAGGCGAACCGGGGGAACUGAAACAUCUAAGUACCCCGAGGAAAAGAAAUCAACCGAGAUUCCCCCAGUAGCGGCGAGCGAACGGGGAGGAGCCCAGAGCCUGAAUCAGCAUGUGUGUUAGUGGAAGCGUCUGGAAAGGCGCGCGAUACAGGGUGAG
Molecule: ribosomal RNA, 340 nt
Filed under: Salmonella enterica subsp. enterica serovar Oranienburg
Lineage: Bacteria; Pseudomonadati; Pseudomonadota; Gammaproteobacteria; Enterobacterales; Enterobacteriaceae
Also listed under: 6 other names
Description: partial 23S ribosomal RNA
Rfam family: Bacterial large subunit ribosomal RNA
Source: RNAcentral